ACCUUAAAUUUUUUUCUAGAAGUAUUAAAAUUUAGUUAAAGCAAGAUGAAGUCUUUUCCCAUGAAUGUGUCCCUUUAUCUCAUUAUAGCUUAUGCUCAGUUUCACUUUCUUGGAAAGGUUAAAACAAAUUAGCCUGGCACUUUAGGUAACUUGAAAAUAACUCUCACCCUUCUGGCUGCCUUCCAUCCACUCUCACCCCACACCUUUUUUUAAUAUAUAUACACCCUUACAGAUUUUCUAACAACCAAAUAAAAUUCUAGCAAUAAAUUGAAUUAUACUGCUAUAUUUGUAUAUACUGUACCAUAAAUAGUAUGUCUGUACCUGGAAAGUAUUUUUUUGAGAACUGAUUUAUAUGAAAUAUACUUAAGGGUAAUGUAGCUUGUCCUUUUUAGUUUCAAAUUCUUAUUCAAAGGCAGAUAUUUUGAAGACACCUUAACUCUUUGUUGUGUGUACUUUUCCCUUGCAUCAGAUAGCUAUACGUGAAGAAAUCCAUUUUGUUUUUUGGUUUAUCUUCUGUUCUUCCUACCUUGUGCUUGUCUGACUAGUAUCACCCCUGAGCCAGUAUACAGUACCAUCCUCUCCCCCUACCAAGUUUGGCAGAGGUGUUUAUACUGCAUUCUCAGAUCUAUGAACAUUUUUGUCAUCCUGCCUGAGAAAGUACCAUAUCUUCCAGGCAAAAGUAGGGUAUCUUGAACUCCUUUCUUCUGAGUUGAGCACACUGGCUUAAGCAUCCCAUAAGCCUAUUAUUUAGUGUGAAUUUGGGACUUUUAUUUGUAUGUUGUCUUAACUUACUGAGCCUGUGACUUGUAUUUAGCUGUAGUCAAGCCUUACCAGCCAUAUCUCAUCUCUGAGAGGAAGACUGGAUAGUGAGUUUGGUUUUGGUUUUGGUUUUAAAUCCUUUUACCUUUUCAGUCUGGCAGCUCCUACUGCUGCUUUCCUAAGUUACUCAAAGCACUGCUUCUUGGUCCUUGUUUUCUUUUGCCUUGUACUAUCUUGUAUAAUGUUUACUAAAAGAGCCUCCCCAUAAAUCAGAGAGGCAAAAAGGUAGCAUAUAAAAAGAAGAACCAAAAGAAGAGAAAACCUGACUUCCAGAUGACUGUGGUGUCAUCUAAAAGGUAGAGAGGUGCCUGACCCUCAGGAAUGUGUAUGAUGCAACAGAGCUGAAGAAUGGGUUCCCUUCACCUACUGCUGGCCAUUGUCUCUUCUGUUGGAGAUUCCUUUCUUUAUGGUUGCUGUUCAUAACUCCUUCAGCACCCCCCCUUGCUGGUCCUGCCGGUCACAGUUGAGGAUUUUGGCUGUGAUGGGCUCAUACUCAUAAUGGCCUGUUGAGUUGUUUUUAGUGACAGGUUUUGUUUGCUGCACAGCUCAUUGGCUUGCUUACCAAUACCAGCUAGAAGUGGUCCCUCUUUCAUAUCCAAACCAGAACACAUUUGGGUAUUCCUGAGACUUUAUAGAGCGUGUAUUGUUUGUUAUACGAACCUAACCUAUCUUGUUGUUUUCUCAUAUUAAGAAAUUUAAAUCUACUUUGUUUUAGUGAAGCUAUUUUGGUAAUGUAUAAGCAAUUUUGGUUCUGUUAGGGAGAAUUCAGGGUUUCCAUGACUUGAUUUGAGCUUUGCAUAUUUCAUAUAAGUAACACAGCCAUUUAGCUAAAUAAAAAAAUUUCUUUUUC
This 1669-nucleotide long non-coding RNA is filed under the name Pongo abelii (Sumatran orangutan). Its description in RNAcentral is "lncRNA (ENSPPYG00000037622.1)". Lineage: Eukaryota; Metazoa; Chordata; Mammalia; Primates; Hominidae. The record is from RNAcentral.